GCCAUGAGCUCCAGGCUCGUCUGCUGUGUGGCCCUGUGUCUCCUGGGGACAAGCCCAGUAGAUUCUGAAGUGACUCAAGUCCCAAAAUAUGUGGUCAAGCUAAGAAGACAGCCAGUGACCCUCAGGUGUUCCUAUGAAUCUGGACACCUCUCUGUAUUCUGGUACCAACAGAUUCUGGGCCAGGGUCCUGAAUUCUUGGCUGAGUACUUUGAUGGCCAAGUCAGAGAUAAGAAGACUCUCCCUGUGAGGUUCUCAGUCCAGCAGUUCAAGAACAACCAUAGCUCUGAGCUGACUUCAAGCUCCCUGGAGCUGGAGGACUCAGCCCUGUAUCUCUGUGCCAGCAGCUUAGCACAGCCCUGCACCAGAAGCAACUAA
Molecule: non-coding RNA, 375 nt
Organism: Erinaceus europaeus (western European hedgehog)
Lineage: Eukaryota; Metazoa; Chordata; Mammalia; Eulipotyphla; Erinaceidae
Source: the annotation of a RefSeq genome assembly